UGAGGAAUAUUGGUCAAUGGACGCAAGUCUGACCCAGCAACGCCGCGUGAAGGAAGAAGGCUUUCGGGUUGUAAACUUCUUUUAAGGGGGAAGAGCAGAAGACGGUACCCCUUGAAUAAGCCACGGCUAACUACGUGCC
Molecule: ribosomal RNA, 139 nt
Filed under: uncultured bacterium
Lineage: Bacteria
Description: partial 16S ribosomal RNA
Rfam family: Bacterial small subunit ribosomal RNA
Source: RNAcentral